GUCAGGGUAGCUCAAGUGGUUAGAGCGCCGCCCUCAUAAAGCGGAGGUUGCGAGUUCGACUCUCGCCCCUGACA
This 74-nucleotide transfer RNA is filed under the name Parcubacteria group bacterium RIFCSPHIGHO2_01_FULL_40_30. Its description in RNAcentral is "tRNA-Met". It matches the Rfam family "tRNA". Rfam says of the family: Transfer RNA (tRNA) molecules are approximately 80 nucleotides in length. Their secondary structure includes four short double-helical elements and three loops (D, anti-codon, and T loops). The record is from RNAcentral. RNAcentral also lists the same sequence under 3 other names.